This is a long non-coding RNA of Panicum virgatum (switchgrass), 4474 nucleotides long. RefSeq lists it as uncharacterized. NCBI's taxonomy places the organism in Eukaryota, Viridiplantae, Streptophyta, Magnoliopsida, Poales, Poaceae. The transcript has 3 exons. The record is from RefSeq and is a predicted model, not a curated record.
UGGCGGGGGUAGGUUAGGGUAUCCAAGGAAACCGCCGCUGCCGGUCUGCCGGGGUGGGGUUAGUUCAGGGCAUCCAAGGAUUACCGGCGCUGCCGGGCCUGCGAAGAACAAAACCAAAUCCUGCUAAGCACAGCACUGCACAGCACAGCACAACAGGACCAGGCGACCAGCAAUGAGGAUUUGAUCACGGCUAUGACACAUCCAUUUGUUUGGGGUUUCCAUUGAUUUCUGCUUAUGCAGCACCUUCAUUGUAUUGGCUAGUGUGCUAGAUUGAUUAGCGUCAGAAAUUUUGUGGAUCUACUACUGCGGUAACGAGCUGGUGGCAUCAGAAAAUAUACUCCGUUAUUUACUAGGAUGGGACCUGACGAAUGACCUUUAGUCCUGUAGACCUAGUGAUGGUAUUUCAUGGAACACUAUUCAUGAUCUUUUGGUGCGCUAGGGCGCUUUAAAAGUGACUAGUAGCAGUGCAUUGGUUGUGUGUGAAGUAGCUAGUAUAGUUGUUUUAGAUGUAUAUGUAAUAUGCACAACAUGAUAAAAAUUGUAUCCAAGCAGCUCGUGCUUGCUUCCCUGUGCCACCGCCCCCCACCCCCCCUCCUGGUAACAACCAUCCUUAUUGGAAUUGAAUGAGUAUAAUGUGGCAUGUGGACGAUGUUCGUGUUUGUGGACCAUUUGAAUAUAAAUUGUGGGAAUUAUGAAUGAACCAGUUGGAAGAACUAGUGACUCCCAGCUACAUGUAAAAUAUAUUGUUUCUUGCUCUUCAUUAUCCCCAAUACUGCAAACUAAGGAGCUGAACGCCGACUGUUGUCGUUGAGCUCCUUUUCCUUUUUGCCAUAAUUAUCAUAUUUUCAUAUGUUUCGUGGUUAUGUGGUCUGAGCUCUCUCAGCUGCCAGUUCAGGAUUCAUAAUACGGUACCAGAUGGACUCAGUGAGAUAAAGGGCAGAUCGCUCUCUAACCUUUGAGCUUCUCCUGUCGAGAAUAGAUUAUGAUCAUACCAAUUUAGUGGGUGAAGCCCUUUACUUGAUUGCUCCCUAUGCAGGACUCCUUUGCAUUCCUUUGUAGUUUUUUAACUGACAAACCUAUCAGAGUUCUUAAGACUUCCUUUAGAUAGCAAGAUGUGACUCCUUACAAUUCAAAUGGUUGUCAAAUGAGUAUAAUACUUGGAUUCUUACAACCAUCAGAUGCUGUCGUCAACUCCUGUAACAACCAUCUGACAGACUAGGAUUCUUACACAUCUAAUCUAGCAGGGUGAUGCUUGUAUGGUUUCUAACAAUUCUGAUGCCCCUGUUUUGGCUUUCUGACUGAUCAGGUCCUGGUUAAACAGGAGUUGCCCAGGAUACAUAUUUAAACUAAUGUAACAGGAUGAAGUAUCCAUCCCAGUGACAUCCUGCGUGGACUCUGGAAGGCAAUUAUCCUUCCCAAAUCCCAAGCCAGAAAGUAAACAUAUAUACAAGAGAGGAAAGACAAGGUUUCUUAUUUCUUCCUUUCUCUUUCGUCACUUUGGUCGAUGGUUUAGUUCAAAGCUUCUUUGUGAUAAUCAGGAGCGUAGACGUGUUAAUGUGAAACUAGCUACAUAGAAUAGUACUCAUAGGAAAUGCUAAAGCUAUCGAGCUCUUCACUGAUAAACUGACAUUAUUAAGGCCCACAGCUGAUCAAGAUUCAGAGCAAAAAAACCAAUUGGAUGAUCGUUUAAUGCUUUCAUUCCACCCGCACAACAACAAAUCACAGCUAUUGGUUACUGUAGCUAUAUUGUAUCAAUUGAAAGGUCAGAGUCGUACUAGAAAAGUUAAACUUUCCUCAUACAUACAGCUCAAAUUCCCUUUCAGCUGCUUUCUCUUUGAAGCUGAUGUUGUCCAUCUGUCUUGUCAUAUUCUAUUCCCUUAGAUUUUUUGGUAAAAAAACUUUGUUAAGUCCACUAGUGACUCAGUUUUGCUUCUGCCCCAUUAAAAUUAAUAAACAUUCAUUUCAAAAUUUGCUAAAAAGUAUCUGGCUUCAUUUCAAAAUGUGCUAAAAAGUAUCUGGCAUAGUUUAGUUUUAUUUUGUUAGAUAAUCUUGAAAGAAGCCUAUGCUAGAAAACAUAAUGAUCCUUACUUUGAAUUAGUGAACUCUGUUAUCGAUUAUGAGCUUUGUGGUUGUUCCAAAGCUGACCCCCAUGAUUAUUGCUAGAAAUGUUAGCUUAGCUGAGUUGUAAGUGCAUCAACCUGGUUUAAAACUUGACUAGCUGCUGCUAGCUAGUUGAAAGUAGCCGGGAGAUGAUUUGAGCUAUCUGAAAAAUUUAUGUUCUUUCUGCUUGCCUUUUAACCUAUCCUUUUUGAGAUUUUUGACACUGGAAAUGUACUACCUGCCUCUGGAAAUGUACACCCCACCUUUAUUUAUUGUUACGCUUGGAGCUCUCUCAGGAUAAUUUGCUAAGUUCCAUCCAGUUCAUACUCUGUGUUCCAGUUUAAGUGAUUAUUGUAGUUGCAACUUUCUGAUCCCCCUGUGCAUCAAUGUAAAGCACAUUUUUUGUUUGAAAACUUAGCAAGUUUUGACUAAAAAUUAGUUAAUUAUGUGUGUGGUUAGUGUUCAAAAGUUCCAUUGAUAGAUCUGUAUUCAAAAUAUUUUGUAAAAAAUUAACAAUAUAUUGUAAGAGAAAUUGAAGGUCAAAAUUGACGUUUGAAUGCCUUCUAAUACAAAAUACACCUUAGAUUGACGGAUAGAGAAGCUUGUAAUAUGUUCAACUAUUAUGCAAAUUGGGUCAUCGUUAUCUUUAGCAUGCAUAAUACUUUCUUGUUUGGACAUAGUUGUACCAAAUCUACUAAUGUAUUAGUUUAUUCUCUCUGUUGGGAUCUAGCAUAUUAGUGAUUGGGCGAUCCUGCUGCAUUCCUGACUAAUUACAAUCAAUCUUGAACUACAUUCAGAUUCGAAGUACCUAUUCCUUGCCCUGGUGGAUCUCUUUUAUGAUUUAACAAAAUAAAUGCUUGCAAAAUAAUUUAACUUAUAUUUGUUCCGACUGAUUUGUUUAUUAGUUCAGCUCUCAUAUUUGGAAUCUGAAAACCCGAGGAUCUGGUAGUGUUUUCUGUAUUAUGUUUGAUUAAAUUCUUAGCAAAUUGUUACUGUGACCGACGGAGGAACAGCCCUGUGUUCUGCCUGUUAGUUGUACUGUGAUCAAUUAUAUGAAUCUAGCGAUUCUGCCAGCCUUUUCUGCAGCAGCAGAUUUGCAGCUUUUUCAUUGUGCUUGGUGCAAUUAUCAGGUUCACCAACUCCUAUGGUGCUAGGAUGGGGUCAAUGUGCUGAAAGAUCAUAUUAAUGUUGCUGCUAGUGCUUGCCAUUCGCAUGAUGCUGCUGCGGAGCUGCUACUCAGUGUAAAUAAUUUAAAUGUUUAGUCAGUCAGUAACGCGCUGUGGUUCAUCUAAGCUACAUGUCCAUUGCGUGCCUAGUUAGCUACAUACUUUUGCUCUGUCCUUUGUGGUACUUGGCAUAAAGAGUUCCAUGUAAUUGCCUUUUAUGCUUGUCGUGAAAAAGAAAAAUGAUAAUUGAUGCUUUGUUCCUGCUGAGUUGUUUGUGGGGCCUUUCAUGUAAUUCUUUUGUGGAAGCAUUGUUAUUGAUCAUUUCUUUUUAACUUGCAUAUAGUUUCAAUCUUGGAUGCAUGUGCUUCAGCUCAUUAUUGAUGUCUGAAACGUGUCCUUGGAUGACAUGAAAAAGUGAUAUCCCUGGGAGUAGAAAAACAGGAUGUUUCUCGAAGGAUUUGGUUUGCUGUGGUGUGCUGAUGAUUGUUCUUGCUGUUGAUUUUUGGAUGAAUUGCUCAAGUGGCUGGCAGCCGAGAUGAGGAUAUGGCAAAAUGCUGAUCGUCGUUGCCGAUAGAGACAGGAAUAGCAAAAUGAACAGAUGAACACGUUUGUGACCUCUGAUUGCAAGGGUAAGGUGGCAAGUGGAUUGUGUGCAGAGGUCCAACAAGGGAAUUCUCUUCGAGUGGUGGGUUAAAGUGGCUUAUCUUAAUGUGCAUCUGAUCCUCUCUCGGGCCUGCGACAGCGAGAUUCAAAUUAAAGUAUGACACCUCCUCGAUAAUGUUCCUGUUUCGCCGCUUUAUCCAUGAAAAAGCAAUGCCUCCUAUCUACCACCCAAGAAAGCCUUUGCAAGUGAAAUUUCCAACAUGGAAGAUUCUCUUGUGUGGGGCUGGUAAAUAAUUUGGCUUGGUUCUGGUCUGUUUUCGGCUAGGCACACUGGUGUCAUAAUCGAAAUGUCACAUGAAGGCUGGCAGGUGCGUCUGAAUCAAGUCCAUCGUUCAGUCUGUGGCCCGGGAGGAGCUAGCUGCUCUACGAAAAGAGAGGGAGAGGGUGGGGGAGAGUGAAAAUUUGACUGUGCACGCAUGUAUCGUUGGUAAAACUUCCUUUGUCGCGACUUGUGUGCCUGCAAACAGUAAAGUGAUUGUGCGAAUGCUGGAGCAUGAAUUUUAUAUAUGUAUGGCAUGAGGACGAAAAUCAUUUGGUGGCAGAAA